RNAcentral lists this ribosomal RNA (598 nucleotides) under uncultured Enterobacter sp. RNAcentral describes it as "bacterial SSU rRNA". It matches the Rfam family "Bacterial small subunit ribosomal RNA", at positions 64 to 651 of the family's 1533-position model. Lineage: Bacteria; Pseudomonadati; Pseudomonadota; Gammaproteobacteria; Enterobacterales; Enterobacteriaceae. The record is from RNAcentral.
GAACGGUAACAGGAAGCAGCUUGCUGCUUCGCUGACGAGUGGCGGACGGGUGAGUAAUGUCUGGGAAACUGCCUGAUGGAGGGGGAUAACUACUGGAAACGGUAGCUAAUACCGCAUAACGUCGCAAGACCAAAGAGGGGGACCUUCGGGCCUCUUGCCAUCGGAUGUGCCCAGAUGGGAUUAGCUAGUAGGUGGGGUAACGGCUCACCUAGGCGACGAUCCCUAGCUGGUCUGAGAGGAUGACCAGCCACACUGGAACUGAGACACGGUCCAGACUCCUACGGGAGGCAGCAGUGGGGAAUAUUGCACAAUGGGCGCAAGCCUGAUGCAGCCAUGCCGCGUGUAUGAAGAAGGCCUUCGGGUUGUAAAGUACUUUCAGCGGGGAGGAAGGCGAUAAGGUUAAUAACCUUGUCGAUUGACGUUACCCGCAGAAGAAGCACCGGCUAACUCCGUGCCAGCAGCCGCGGUAAUACGGAGGGUGCAAGCGUUAAUCGGAAUUACUGGGCGUAAAGCGCACGCAGGCGGUCUGUCAAGUCGGAUGUGAAAUCCCCGGGCUCAACCUGGGAACUGCAUUCGAAACUGGCAGGCUAGAGUCUUG